This is a non-coding RNA of Pelobates cultripes (western spadefoot toad), 262 nucleotides long. Lineage: Eukaryota; Metazoa; Chordata; Amphibia; Anura; Pelobatidae. The record is from the annotation of a GenBank genome assembly.
GUUAAGUUCUCCUAAGCAGACCUACGCAACCCGACCUUUAUUCUCUUAUGUUUACAACUGAUACCUGCAGAUAAUUACUCUUGCAUGUACAGUUAAUUAAAAGUGAACCUUUUUCACCCAUAUUAACCUCGGACCAUCAUAACUUAGUAUUACAUGAUUAACUAUCACAUACAGCAUAUCUUUGAUAUCUACUUGUUAGAGCCACUCUACACCAUGUUUUAUGCUGCUCAAUAUUAAAUUCCUACAAUACGCAUGCAUGGUC